GAUGAACGCUGGCGGCGUGCCUAAUACAUGCAAGUCGAGCGAACAGAUAAGGAGCUUGCUCCUUUGACGUUAGCGGCGGACGGGUGAGUAACACGUGGGUAACCUACCUAUAAGACUGGGAUAGCUUCGGGAAACCGGAGCCAAUACCGGAUAAUAUUUCGAACCGCAUGGUUCGAUAGUGGAAGAUGGUUUUGCUAUCACUUAUAGAUGGACCCGCGCCGUAUUAGCUAGUUGGUAAGGUAACGGCUUACCAAGGCGACGAUACGUAGCCGACCUGAGAGGGUGAUCGGCCACACUGGAACUGAGACACGGUCCAGACUCCUACGGGAGGCAGCAGUAGGGAAUCUUCCGCAAUGGGCGAAAGCCUGACGGAGCAACGCCGCGUGAGUGAUGAAGGUCUUCGGAUCGUAAAACUCUGUUAUUAGGGAAGAACAUACGUGUAAGUAACUGUGCACGUCUUGACGGUACCUAAUCAGAAAGCCACGGCUAACUACGUG
RNAcentral lists this ribosomal RNA (497 nucleotides) under uncultured bacterium. RNAcentral's name for it is "partial 16S ribosomal RNA". It matches the Rfam family "Bacterial small subunit ribosomal RNA", at positions 28 to 507 of the family's 1533-position model. The record is from RNAcentral.